RNAcentral lists this long non-coding RNA (692 nucleotides) under Homo sapiens (human). Its description in RNAcentral is "non-protein coding lnc-RTL4-4:1". Lineage: Eukaryota; Metazoa; Chordata; Mammalia; Primates; Hominidae. The record is from RNAcentral.
GAGUGAGUUGAGUCUUCUCUUUCAGAGAAUCAUCUGAUGAAAUUCCAGGCUCCUGAAAGGUUGGAGGAAGAGUCAGGGAAGCAGGGAUAUAGCAAGCCCAUAAUGACAACUAACACCUCCAAAACUGAAUAGGGCUAGAUGAAAUGUAAUGGAACCUUCAGAUAUAUGAAGAUUUAAUUUCGCACAAGUGUUGCCAACAGUCAUGUUCUGAGAGCUGCUACUGUAGAAGGAAAAAACAAGCAUGCUAGGACCCCGGAUUAUGCUGGGCGUGAGUGUCAACAGCAGCCCAGAUUGGAGGCCCAGAACCUACUGAAGAUUCCAGAAGCCUGCCAGGCUCCUUUGCCAGAGAAGAAGAAUAAAAAACAACCCACUGAAAACUUCAGUUGUUCAGGUAAGAUCAACAAACUAGAUGAGUGAAAGGGAGCCAGAAGCAGAAACGGGACAAGGAAAUAGACUAUUAGUGUGACAAGCGCUCCGAUAUGGACUGCCACAAGGAUAUAGCUUCUCCGUGAGUAAAAUGGAAGUGAUACCACCUAUCUCACAGAGCAGCUCUGAAGGCCAAAAAGAUGACACAUACAAAGCACUUAGCACCAUGCCUAGAAUAAUUAAUACUUCUCAGAUCCUCUUUAUCUCAGCUCAACACACUCCCAACUGGUCCAACAAGUUCCCAAAAGUGUCUGAGAGAGCUGUAA